RNAcentral lists this ribosomal RNA (301 nucleotides) under uncultured bacterium. Its description in RNAcentral is "partial 16S ribosomal RNA". It matches the Rfam family "Bacterial small subunit ribosomal RNA", at positions 509 to 807 of the family's 1533-position model. The record is from RNAcentral.
CAGCAGCCGCGGUAAUACGUAGGGCGCAAGCGUUAUCCGGAAUUAUUGGGCGUAAAGAGCUCGUAGGCGGUUUGUCGCGUCUGCCGUGAAAGUCCGGGGCUCAACCCCGGAUCUGCGGUGGGUACGGGCAGACUAGAGUGAUGUAGGGGAGACUGGAAUUCCUGGUGUAGCGGUGAAAUGCGCAGAUAUCAGGAGGAACACCGAUGGCGAAGGCAGGUCUCUGGGCAUUAACUGACGCUGAGGAGCGAAAGCAUGGGGAGCGAACAGGAUUAGAUACCCGGGUAGUCCCUGUCUCUUAUAC